Molecule: ribosomal RNA, 1552 nt
Filed under: Escherichia coli
Lineage: Bacteria; Pseudomonadati; Pseudomonadota; Gammaproteobacteria; Enterobacterales; Enterobacteriaceae
Description: bacterial LSU rRNA
Rfam family: Bacterial large subunit ribosomal RNA
Source: RNAcentral
GGAGGUAUCAGAAGUGCGAAUGCUGACAUAAGUAACGAUAAAGCGGGUGAAAAGCCCGCUCGCCGGAAGACCAAGGGUUCCUGUCCAACGUUAAUCGGGGCAGGGUGAGUCGACCCCUAAGGCGAGGCCGAAAGGCGUAGUCGAUGGGAAACAGGUUAAUAUUCCUGUACUUGGUGUUACUGCGAAGGGGGGACGGAGAAGGCUAUGUUGGCCGGGCGACGGUUGUCCCGGUUUAAGCGUGUAGGCUGGUUUUCCAGGCAAAUCCGGAAAAUCAAGGCUGAGGCGUGAUGACGAGGCACUACGGUGCUGAAGCAACAAAUGCCCUGCUUCCAGGAAAAGCCUCUAAGCAUCAGGUAACAUCAAAUCGUACCCCAAACCGACACAGGUGGUCAGGUAGAGAAUACCAAGGCGCUUGAGAGAACUCGGGUGAAGGAACUAGGCAAAAUGGUGCCGUAACUUCGGGAGAAGGCACGCUGAUAUGUAGGUGAAGUCCCUCGCGGAUGGAGCUGAAAUCAGUCGAAGAUACCAGCUGGCUGCAACUGUUUAUUAAAAACACAGCACUGUGCAAACACGAAAGUGGACGUAUACGGUGUGACGCCUGCCCGGUGCCGGAAGGUUAAUUGAUGGGGUCAGCGCAAGCGAAGCUCUUGAUCGAAGCCCCGGUAAACGGCGGCCGUAACUAUAACGGUCCUAAGGUAGCGAAAUUCCUUGUCGGGUAAGUUCCGACCUGCACGAAUGGCGUAAUGAUGGCCAGGCUGUCUCCACCCGAGACUCAGUGAAAUUGAACUCGCUGUGAAGAUGCAGUGUACCCGCGGCAAGACGGAAAGACCCCGUGAACCUUUACUAUAGCUUGACACUGAACAUUGAGCCUUGAUGUGUAGGAUAGGUGGGAGGCUUUGAAGUGUGGACGCCAGUCUGCAUGGAGCCGACCUUGAAAUACCACCCUUUAAUGUUUGAUGUUCUAACGUGGACCCGUGAUCCGGGUUGCGGACAGUGUCUGGUGGGUAGUUUGACUGGGGCGGUCUCCUCCUAAAGAGUAACGGAGGAGCACGAAGGUUGGCUAAUCCUGGUCGGACAUCAGGAGGUUAGUGCAAUGGCAUAAGCCAGCUUGACUGCGAGCGUGACGGCGCGAGCAGGUGCGAAAGCAGGUCAUAGUGAUCCGGUGGUUCUGAAUGGAAGGGCCAUCGCUCAACGGAUAAAAGGUACUCCGGGGAUAACAGGCUGAUACCGCCCAAGAGUUCAUAUCGACGGCGGUGUUUGGCACCUCGAUGUCGGCUCAUCACAUCCUGGGGCUGAAGUAGGUCCCAAGGGUAUGGCUGUUCGCCAUUUAAAGUGGUACGCGAGCUGGGUUUAGAACGUCGUGAGACAGUUCGGUCCCUAUCUGCCGUGGGCGCUGGAGAACUGAGGGGGGCUGCUCCUAGUACGAGAGGACCGGAGUGGACGCAUCACUGGUGUUCGGGUUGUCAUGCCAAUGGCACUGCCCGGUAGCUAAAUGCGGAAGAGAUAAGUGCUGAAAGCAUCUAAGCACGAAACUUGCCCCGAGAUGAGUUCU